AUCCAGUUGACGAGUCCCAAAUGGGACGAAACGCGCGUCGUGGAU
This 45-nucleotide non-coding RNA is filed under the name Schistosoma margrebowiei. Lineage: Eukaryota; Metazoa; Platyhelminthes; Trematoda; Strigeidida; Schistosomatidae. The record is from RNAcentral.